Molecule: ribosomal RNA, 468 nt
Filed under: uncultured bacterium
Lineage: Bacteria
Description: partial 16S ribosomal RNA
Rfam family: Bacterial small subunit ribosomal RNA
Source: RNAcentral
GACGAACGCUGGCGGCGUGCUUAACACAUGCAAGUCGAACGGAAAGGCCCUGCUUUUGUGGGGUGCUCGAGUGGCGAACGGGUGAGUAACACGUGAGUAACCUGCCCUUGACUUUGGGAUAACUUCAGGAAACUGGGGCUAAUACCGGAUAGGAGCUCCUGCUGCAUGGUGGGGGUUGGAAAGUUUCGGCGGUUGGGGAUGGACUCGCGGCUUAUCAGCUUGUUGGUGGGGUAGUGGCUUACCAAGGCUUUGACGGGUAGCCGGCCUGAGAGGGUGACCGGCCACAUUGGGACUGAGAUACGGCCCAGUCUCCUACGGGAGGCAGCAGUGGGGAAUAUUGCACAAUGGGCGGAAGCCUGAUGCAGCAACGCCGCGUGCGGGAUGACGGCCUUCGGGUUGUAACCCGCUUUCGCCUGUGACGAAGCGUGAGUGACGGUAAUGGGUAAAGAAGCACCGGCUAACUACGUG